AGUGAACGCUGGCGGUAGGCCUAACACAUGCAAGUCGAACGGCAGCACAGUAAGAGCUUGCUCUUACGGGUGGCGAGUGGCGGACGGGUGAGGAAUACAUCGGAAUCUACUUUUUCGUGGGGGAUAACGUAGGGAAACUUACGCUAAUACCGCAUACGACCUACGGGUGAAAGCAGGGGAUCUUCGGACCUUGCGCGAUUGAAUGAGCCGAUGUCGGAUUAGCUAGUUGGCGGGGUAAAGGCCCACCAAGGCGACGAUCCGUAGCUGGUCUGAGAGGAUGAUCGGCCGCACUGGAACUGAGACACGGUCCAGACUCCUACGGGAGGCAGCAGUGGGGAAUAUUGGACAAUGGGCGCAAGCCUGAUCCAGCCAUACCGCGUGGGUGAAGAAGGCCUUCGGGUUGUAAAGCCCUUUUGUUGGGAAAGAAAAGCAGCAGGUUAAUACCCCGCUGUUCUGACGGUACCCAAAGAAUAAGCACCGGCUAACUUCGUG
This 492-nucleotide ribosomal RNA is filed under the name uncultured bacterium. Its description in RNAcentral is "partial 16S ribosomal RNA". It matches the Rfam family "Bacterial small subunit ribosomal RNA", at positions 29 to 507 of the family's 1533-position model. The record is from RNAcentral.